GUGUGAGUGUGAGUGUGUGUGUGUGUGUGGUGCAUGUGUGUGUGUAAAGAAAAAGUUCCUUAAUAAAAUUGCAAAAAAACAAGUAAAGCUCCAGAAAAUUAACUCCAUAUUUGCAUGAAAGAAACAAGAGUGUGUGUGUGUUAAGAAAAAGUUACUUAAUAAAAUUGCAAGCCAAUGGUAAAGCUCUAGAAAAUUCACACUAUAUUUUCAUGAAAGAAGCAAGAGCAAUACUAUAAUAGAGAAGAAAGAACCAUCAAGCAAAUCAAGCUUGCAAUAUCAAGAUCUCAAAUAUCGAAAAAUGUAAAGAGAUCCGCCUCUAUGAUAAGUUGCUUUCGUGCUUGUUGAUUUACAAGAAAACUCAAUGAAGAUGAAGCUCAUCAAUAAUAAUAAAAAACAAAUACAAAUAAGAUAAAAAAUUUACAUGGACUAUCACAAUAGGGUAUUCAACAUACCCAAUUCAUCAAGAGAAGAAACUCAUUCUUAUGUUUAAUUUUAUACAAAGUAAUAAGGAAUUUCGCAAUUGUAUAUCUGAUUACAAGCGAUAGUAUAUAUAUUUGUGAGUGUGAGUGUGAGUGUUUAUAAGUGUCAGUGUCAGUGUGAGUGCGAGUGCGAGUGCGAGUGCGAGUGCGAGUGCGAGAGCGAGUGCGAGUGAGAGUGAGAGUGAGAGUGAGAGUGCGAGUGCGAGUGCGAGUGUGAGUGUGAGCGUGUGAUUGUAUGUGUGUAUGAGUGAGGGAGUGUGAGUGUGAGUGUGAGUGUGAGUGUGAAGGUGAGGGUGAGAGUGAGUGUGACUGUGAGUGUGUGUAGUAUAUAAAUCUGUGUACAUAUACGUUAAUAAAGGUAUAUAGUAAUAA
Molecule: long non-coding RNA, 851 nt
Filed under: Amborella trichopoda
Lineage: Eukaryota; Viridiplantae; Streptophyta; Magnoliopsida; Amborellales; Amborellaceae
Description: long non-coding RNA (ATRI_LNC001028)
Source: RNAcentral